GAUGAAGAACGCAGCGAAAUGCGAUAAGUAAUGUGAAUUGCAGAAUUCAGUGAAUCAUCGAAUCUUUGAACGCACAUUGCGCCCGCUAGUAUUCUGGCGGGCAUGCCUGUCCGAGCGUCAUUUCAACCCUCAAGCCCGGCUUGUGUGAUGGGUGCCGUCCCCUACGGGACGCGCCCCGAAGGCAAUGGCGGCGUCGCGGUUAUCCGAUCAGCCAAAGUGUAUGGGGCUUUGUCACUCACUUUACGGCCCGGACCGGCGCCAGUCCGAAUCAAUCAAUUUUUAUAAGUUGACCUCGGAUCAGGUAGGGAUACCCGCUGAACUUAAGCAUAUCAAUAAGCGGAGGA
This 344-nucleotide unclassified non-coding RNA is filed under the name soil metagenome. Its description in RNAcentral is "partial contains 5.8S ribosomal RNA, internal transcribed spacer 2, and large subunit ribosomal RNA". The stretch from base 1 to 120 matches the Rfam family "5.8S ribosomal RNA", at positions 35 to 154 of the family's 154-position model. The record is from RNAcentral.